UGCUCCUGGCUGGCUGAAAGACCUGCUGGCAUCAUGGACUGAGCGGUUGCUGGCAGGGACUGGGGGAGGAAGAAGGAGCUCCUGGCCAGCUGCUGGGACUGGGUACAAGACUUCAGCCCUACGGUAAGAGUGAAGCGUUCGAGAAGGUGCUGGGGCCGGGGAAGUGGCCCAGGGAAGAGAAAUGCAGCCUGUGUGUGACGCGGCCGGAGCGGGAGUCACUGACGAUCGCCGGAGAAGCCACCGACAGAGGUCACUGCAGACUGACAGUGCAGGCACCUGGCCGGAGGGCGCUGGUGAGAGAAUUUGGCUGCAGCUGGCUCUGCGCAGGGGGCUGUGUCAAUCAGCAAUCAAGACCUUCGCUUUUCUAGAAGUGGAGAAAGGAACUCUGGCUGCCACCCCUGCAGAUACGUUACGGCCCCUUCUGUCUGUGCUGGGCCCAGCCUGGGCCCGGGCACUGAGCGGCCGGCAGGUUGGCUCAGCAGCACUGGAACGGUUCUGCUGUGUCUCUGCAUCAUUUUUGUGGCUCCUGUUCUUUGUUGCGAAUUAGAUCGAGCCAGAUUCCCCCCGGGAGACUGGAGUGUCUCCAGCAGCCUGUGCUCCGCUGAGUCCCUCAGAAACCUCCUCCAGCUACUCUUAUGUGUUUAGUGCUUCUCACCGUGGAAAGUGUGGGCUGCGUUUCGAGUCCUCCUGCUCAGUGCACAUCUCAAUGCACGCAGCGGAGCUGGAUGGGCCUGUUGAGAGACG
Molecule: long non-coding RNA, 744 nt
Organism: Mauremys reevesii (Reeves's turtle)
Lineage: Eukaryota; Metazoa; Chordata; Testudines; Geoemydidae
Exons: 3
Source: RefSeq, a predicted model, not a curated record